UCGAGCGCGAAAGCACUUCGGUGUGAGUAGAGCGGCGGACGGGUGAGUAACGCGUAGGAAUCUACCUAGUAGUGGGGGACAACUCGGGGAAACUCGAGCUAAUACCGCAUAAGCCCUACGGGGGAAAGCGGGGGACCUUCGGGCCUCGUGCUAUUAGAUGAGCCUGCGUUGGAUUAGCUAGUUGGUGGGGUAAAGGCCUACCAAGGCGACGAUCCAUAGCUGGUCUGAGAGGAUGAUCAGCCACACCGGGACUGAGACACGGCCCGGACUCCUACGGGAGGCAGCAGUGGGGAAUAUUGCGCAAUGGGCGAAAGCCUGACGCAGCCAUGCCGCGUGUGUGAAGAAGGCCUUCGGGUUGUAAAGCACUUUCAAUUGGGAGGAAAGGUUCACGGUUAAUAACCGUGAGCUGCGACGUUACCUUUAGAAGAAGCACCGGCUAACUCCGUGCCAGCAGCCGCGGUAAUACGGAGGGUGCGAGCGUUAAUCGGAAUUACUGGGCGUAAAGCGCGCGUAGGUGGUCUGUUAAGUCGGAUGUGAAAGCCCCGGGCUCAACCUGGGAACUGCAUUCGAUACUGGCAGACUAGAGUGCGAGAGAGGGAGGUAGAAUUCCAUGUGUAGCGGUGAAAUGCGUAGAUAUGUGGAGGAAUACCAGUGGCGAAGGCGGCCUCCUGGCUCGACACUGACACUGAGGUGCGAAAGCGUGGGGAGCAAACAGGAUUAGAU
RNAcentral lists this ribosomal RNA (723 nucleotides) under uncultured bacterium. RNAcentral's name for it is "bacterial SSU rRNA". It matches the Rfam family "Bacterial small subunit ribosomal RNA", at positions 62 to 783 of the family's 1533-position model. The record is from RNAcentral.